CGCACGCACCGCUGCUGUUGGCAGCGCCCAAUCGGUUGACGCCCCCCUCCCCCACACACACUCUCCCCUUCACACCACACACCAUAUCACCUCCCCCCUUCCCUCCCCCGACCUUACAAGGAAGGGCGAGAAAGACAGACAGACUGACCGAGGAGGAGGAAGAGCAAGAGAGAGAGAGCGGUACUGAGCACCGACACGAGACGGGAGCGAAAGCCAUCUCGACGGCGCGUAGAUUCGAUCAUACAGAGAGUGUGCCCUCGCCGCGUGCCUUGCUCUCCACGCCGACGCGCGUGUGUAGUUGUGAGGCGUUGACCGAGGAAAGCAGAAAUCAGUUACCCCCACGCUCUCCCUUGCGCACUCCUUUAAAGUACGUUAGUGACGACGCCAACGUGGUGCUCGCACACGCACCACCACCACCACCACCGACAAAGGAAGCAGUCGCCCCAGCUCCUUUCCUUACUUGCACCGCCGCACAUACCUGCACACUCAGCGAAGAGUGCCUUCAUAAAGCAUCGUUCCUUUGCCUGCCUCAGCACACAUAGAUAGAAUCUCAAGAUACGUAGAAAGGGUCUCGGGCAAACUAGAGGAGACGGUCACUGCCACCUUUAGUGCUGUACCAAUCCUGCUCAGCCCCGCCAUGAGCACCAACGCCCAGGAGCUGGUGCGCCAGCUCACGGAGAACCCAGAGGUUCUGGAGAGCAUGCAGCACAUGAUCUCUCUGCUGCGCGCCAAUCCUCCGCGUAUCUCCGGCAGCAGCAACGGUGGAGGCCUCGGCAGCGUGGAGACCAACGGACCUGAGAGAGGUGCACAGCAGUGUGUGCGACCACCGCGCAGCGAAUAUGGUACUGACGCUGAUUACGGUCAUCACCGGCCCACAACCAGGCGUAAGCUGCACAGCAGUGAUGGCACCGGCCACAGCGCGACCUCCCUGUCUGCGUCGUCGUUGACGCAGGAGGCGCACUCUUUCUAUAGUGACGACAGGGUCGGUGCGCGCACCACCGUCAGUGGUCACAACGCCGCCACCGGCGGCGCAUCUUCGCCGACGCCAACCUUCGUCGCAACAGGAUCCCGCGCAGCGCCUCAAGUGGUGGCUGCGGCCUCACGGCUUGCACCGCGCCGCUCCUCGCUUCUCUCGACGCCGCACGAGCAUCGCCCCGCCACGGCUCCUGAUGAGCAGCUGAUGGCCACGGCCAACAGGCUGACGGAGGCGCAGCGACGCAUUGCAGAGCUAGAAAAGGAACUGCAGCGCACCACGAAACGGGUGGACCAGCUGUCCGAUGUGGUGCAGCGGCAGAAGGACGAGCUACAGGCCACGAAGGAUCGGCAUGCGCUAGAGAUGGAGGAAACACGACACGCCUACAACGCCGUGAUUCACCGCAAAGACGAGGUGCAAGAGGAGGCGCUGCGCCAGCUGCUCAAAUCCCGCCAGCUGAUGGUGUCGGCAGCCAAGUACGAGGCCGUCGUGGCGGCGAAGAAGUUUCACGCUCAGCAGUUGGAAAAGGAGAACAACACCGGCGCCGAUGAUGGGACGGGAAGCGCAAAGGGGUUGGCAGGCGUACAGGCAAGCUCCAACCCCAACGAGCACGGCACUCACCCCGGGCUAGCGCCAAGUCAGACAUCAGUGAACGCGCGGCACUCUUCGACGCUCGGCCACGGGUCGGGCGCGACGGCCAAGUACAACAGUGCUCUGAAGCGUGACCGCCAGAAUGACGAGGAGGACUUUGUUGACGGUGCCGGCGUCGCGACUGGCGCACAAGAGCCUGGUGAGGCGCGAUACGGAGAAGCAACCCACCAACGUCCGCCAAUGAAGCGCACUGCGUUGGACACAUCUCAUCUGCAGGGCAGCGCUGAUCGUGCCGUAGAAGGACGGAGGGGCGUUGUGGCGACCAAGGCGGAGACGUCUCCCGCGUACAUCACCACCCCCACGCCGGUGAGCAAGGCGUCCACCGCGCUCGUCGACCCGCGCACUGAGUCACGCAGCGCACGCAAGCGGCGCACCCCGCGCACGCCGAGCCGCACAAACGCUGAGCGCCUCGCCGGGUCGAUGGCGGAGAACCGAAUCCGCUCGCAGCAGCGCUUGCCCGGGACGGCGUCGCUAAAGAUCGAGAGCCCCACGCCUGUGGUGAGCACGGCGUGGACGGCGGACCGCUCUCUCACGGGCAGUUGUACGCCGCCGCCCUCCAGCGCUGGCAUGUACACGGUGUCCGAGGCGGUGACCAAACAUCAUCAACUGCACCCGCAGCAGCACGUGCAACAAGCUCCGUCCACGCGACCGCCGCUCAUGCAGCGUGCAGCGGGUCGUCUUCCUCCGGCUCCGCACCGCACCGCAGCUGCCCCGACGGCGGUGCCCAACACGCGAAGUGGUACCUCUUCCAUUGCUUCCGGUGGCCCAACGCGGUCACCGUCGCCUGUGAAUCCGAAGCGUGGCGCCAUGCUGCCGCGCCGCUUCAUCUUUACAGGUCUGAAAGACCAUGAACCUCAGCGGCUGGUCAGCGCAAUAGCCGCGGUCGGUGACGAUGCCGCGGCGCUGGCGAGUGACCUCGACGAGCCGCCGCCAAGCAGCACGACUCACGUUGUGCUGCGCGGGACGCCGCGUAGCGUCAAGGCUCUCUGCGGGGUGGUGUCGGGCAAGUGGCUUGUCUCACCCGAAUACGUGUACAACAGCCAGCAAAGUGGCUUCUGGCUAGACGAGCUCGAGGAGGGCGGUCUGCGCAUCUUUCCACCGCCGCUGAAGUGCCAGCGUUUCCUUCUGACUGUUGAGCACCCAAGCAUCCGUGCGAAGCUGGCGCAGGUGAUCGAGUACGGCGGUGGCGAGGUGUUGCCAAGCGGCAGUGACAAGCGUGGCCCUAGCGCCGGCGACAAUGUGGCGCAGGACGUUAUUGUGAUCACCUCUGGCGAUGACCUCUUGCGAUAUGCAACGCAAGACCGCGUGUAACGCGUCAGCUUGGCGAGACCGUGUACCGAGCCCGUCUCGUUGACUGUCCACACUGUGUGCCCGUGUGUGUGUGUGUGUGUGUGUGUGUGUGACGGACUUCAUGGUGAUCCGCAUAGAGUCGUUGCUGUUGAAGAGCGACAUCCGUUUCGCCGCCUCUCUGGCUCUUACUUCUCCUUCUCGUAUUAGCUUUUUUUUCUGUUGUGUGCGUAUGUAUUCGUCGUUCUCGCUCGCUCGCGGUGGUGACGUGCCGCGCCCUUCCUUGCCGGCCGGCGAGGGAGGAGAUGGGGGAUAUUAGGAGACCAUGGGAGGUGUGCUGUAUGCAUGUUACCCUGCCUCGUCCCCUCCCUGCACUGCACACACAUUUCUUCGCGUGUGUGUGUGUGUGUGUGUGUGUGCAUGUGUGUAGCGGCUUUGUGACGGUUUUUUGUUCGCUCAUGUUCUUCCCCGCCAUGCUUGCUUGUUUCGCUAGGCCGGCACACAUUGUUCUCGCAUUCUUCUCUACACCCAAACGAAGACGAACCGACGACGGAGCGCGCGCACGCAUGCGCAUGGAACAGACG
Molecule: unclassified non-coding RNA, 3495 nt
Filed under: Leishmania donovani
Lineage: Eukaryota; Euglenozoa; Kinetoplastea; Trypanosomatida; Trypanosomatidae
Description: gene:LdHU3.10.0460(CDS-product:kinetoplastid_kine tochore_protein_4_putative)
Source: RNAcentral